Molecule: ribosomal RNA, 524 nt
Filed under: uncultured Entrophospora
Lineage: Eukaryota; Fungi; Glomeromycota; Glomeromycetes; Entrophosporales; Entrophosporaceae
Description: SSU rRNA
Rfam family: Eukaryotic small subunit ribosomal RNA
Source: RNAcentral
AGCAGCCGCGGUAAUUCCAGCUCCAAUAGCGUAUAUUAAAGUUGUUGCAGUUAAAAAGCUCGUAGUUGAAUUUCGGGAUUAACGUGACGGUCGUGCCUUAAGGGGUAUGAACUGUUACAGUUAAUUUCUCACCUUCUGGAGAAAUAUGAUGUCCUUAAUUGGGUGUCAUAUGGAACCAGGACUUUUACCUUGAAAAAAUUAGAGUGUUUAAAGCAAGCUUAUUGCUCGAAUACAUUAGCAUGGAAUAAUAAAAUAGGACGGCAUGAUUCUAUUUUGUUGGUUUCUAGGUAUCACCGUAAUGAUUAAUAGGGAUAGUUGGGGGCAUUAGUAUUCAAUUGUCAGAGGUGAAAUUCUUGGAUUUAUUGAAGACUAACCACUGCGAAAGCAUUUGCCAAGGAUGUUUUCAUUAAUCAAGAACGAAAGUUAGGGGAUCGAAGACGAUCAGAUACCGUCGUAGUCUUAACCAUAAACUAUGCCGACUAGGAAUCAGGCGAUGUUAAUUUUUAAUGUACUCGUUUGGCACC